Ictidomys tridecemlineatus (thirteen-lined ground squirrel) is the source of this 1204-nucleotide non-coding RNA. NCBI's taxonomy places the organism in Eukaryota, Metazoa, Chordata, Mammalia, Rodentia, Sciuridae. The record is from RefSeq and is a predicted model, not a curated record.
GACACCUUCAUAUGGAGAGUACCGGGCCCAGGGAAUUCUCUUCUCGGCAAACUUGGUUUCACUGCUUGUGGGAGGAGGGAAACCUGAUUGGGGGGCUGCUGAUCUGAGCUGCUUGUAUCUAUCCUGCCAAGUGGGAAAUCCCCUUCCCUCAGCAGUAGGUGUCAAGGUCAAGAGAACCUGCAUCUAGAGAACAGUGUAUACCCCGGAAAUGCAUUUCAAGAUCAAUUGAGGCCUGAAUAAAUCAUCAGGGCUCUCCCCAGGUAUCGCCCCAGAGCGCUGGCAUUUAAACAUCCUCUAACAAGGCUCCGCACAGGCGGUGACGGUUGUUAAUUAAGACUCGAAAUCUUGCCAGAAUCCCCCUGAAGCAGGCUGCUUGAUCACCCUCAAACGCUGCAUAGUCACGGAGCUGCCUGCCGAACGCUGCACGGUCACGGAGCUGCCAUCAGACUUAAAUCAACACGUCCUUGACCUUGAGCAUCCCACCCUGGGAAAGCAGCAGGCGUGGGUGGAGGAUGGAAGGAGGGAAGACGGCCAGACAGGCCAUCUCUCUGGAUCCCCCUCAAGGGCAGGAGGUGUCUGCAAACACUGGGGAUCCACUGUGAUGGAUUUCACAGCACCUCGAUGUCAGAGCCACUGAGAACCCGCCAUGUGGACUCCCAUGCUAAAGGGGCAAAGCUCCAUGCUGUGCGGCACACUGAGAUGAGGUCACAGCCAGAGGUGGAGGAGGAAACACGUGCUCCCUCCUGCGGCUCCUUACCAGGUGACAAAGGACUCUGUGACAAAGACUAAGCAUCACACCACAGUGCACUGUAGGGUGGGGACAGGGCGGGAGUGCAAUUUGUUCAAAUGAAAAUACACACAAGUUUGAGUCCAAUUCUUAGCAAAUGAUAGGCCCACAGGGUCAUCACCUCGAGAAGCAAACAGCCCUCACCAAACUGCAUUGAAAAGCUACACUAAUGGUGAUUCGCUUCUAAAUGAAAAGCAAGAGCAGCAGUGAGGAAAAACCACGGCCAUCUCUAGACAAUGAGCAGGGGACUCCCACAGCCCACUCCCUCCAACUCUGCAUGGACACGUGGCAGACAGACCUGGGAGCAUCGGCAAUGACUGAGCGGAAUCCAGAUUCUUCCAGCAUCCUGCGUGAGGGCCCUCAAACUCUAGAAAUGUACUCAUUUUAGUUUGCAAAUAAAAAGCCUUAGCAAAGCCA